CUGAAGAAGCAUCUGUAGGGAAUCCAGAAGGAGCGUUCAUGAAGGUGUUACAAGCCCGGAAGCAGCACACGAGCACUAAGCUGACUAUUGAGUCGGAGGCGCCCUCAGACAGCAGUGGCAUCAAGUUGUCAGGCUUUGGGAGUGAUCAGUUUGAAAUUCAGCUAACCCAGGAGCUACGGUCCCUCAUCCCCAACGAGGAUGUGAGAAGGUUCAUGUCUCAUAUUAUCCGGACCUUGAAAAUGGAAUGUUCACAAAUGCAUGUGCAAGUGACCUGUGCCAAGCUCAUGUCGCGAACAGGACUCCUGAUGAAACUUCUCAGCGAGCAGCAGGAAGCAAAGCCAUCAAAGGCAGAGUGGGAUAUGGACCACCAGAAAUCUAAUUAUAUUAAUGAGAACAUGGAACAGAGUGAACAGAAACAGCAGAAGUCAAGUGAGCUCAUGAAAGAGGUUCCAGGAUAUGGCUAUAACAACAAACUCAUCUUGGCAAUAUCUGUGACUGUAAUACUAACAAUUUUGAUUAUAAUUUUUUGUCUUAUUGAGGUAAGGACAAUAAUUAAUUCAGGUUUUCAGAAUGCAAUCCUGUCUUUGUGUGGAUUCAGAACCC
This 603-nucleotide small RNA is filed under the name Pongo abelii (Sumatran orangutan). RNAcentral's name for it is "processed transcript". The record is from RNAcentral. Lineage: Eukaryota; Metazoa; Chordata; Mammalia; Primates; Hominidae.